UUCCUUCCUUUCUUUCUUUCUUCCUUCCUUUCUUGUCUCUCCCUUCCUUCCUUUUCCAUUCCUUCUUCUUUUCUUUUUCUGUCCUUCCUUCCUUUCUUUUCCAUUCCUUCCCUCUUUCCUUUUUUCUUCUUCCAUGCUUCCUUUUUCAUUUCCUUUCUUCCUUCCUUCCUUCCUUUCUUCCUUUUCUUCUUCUUUCCUUUCUUUCUUUCUUGUCCCUCCCUCCCUUCCUUUCUUUUCCAUUCCUUCCUCUUUUCUUGUUCUAUCCUUCCUACCUUUCUUUCUUUUCCAUUCCUUCCCUCUUUCCUUUUUCUUCUUCCGUGCUUCCUUGUUUCAUUUCCUUCCUUCCAUCCUUCCUUUCUUUCUGCCUUUCCUUCUUCCUUCCUUCCUUUCUUGUCCAUUGCUUCCUCUUUUCUUUUUCUGUCCUUCCUUCCUUUCUUUUCCAUUCCUUCCUUCUCCAUUCCUUCCUCUUUUCUUUUUUCUUCUUCCGUGCUUCCUUUUUCAUUUUCCUUUCUUCCUUCCUUCCUUCCUUGUCCCUCCCUUCCUUCCUUUUCCAUUUCUUCCUCAUUUCUUCUGUCCUUCCUUCCUUUCUUUUCCAUUCCUUCCCUCUUUCUUUUUUCUUCUUUCGUCCUUACUUUUUUCUUCCUUCCUUUCUUCCUUCUUCCGUCCUUCCUUCUUUCCUCUUCUCUUCUUCCGUCCUUCCUUCAUUUCUUUCCCCUCCUUCCUUCUUUCCUCUUUUCUUCUUCUAUUCUUUCAGCGUAGUGUAAACUCCUCUGGCCUGAAGUUACAGUUUCACCUCCGACACUGGAGACUCCUUCCGUAAACGUUAAACAAACCUCUCUUUACAGAAAUCUUCGCCACAUCAACGGUUAACGAUAACACACUAAACCGCGCUACUGUCAGAGCUGCUGUUAUACAAAAUGAAUCAACACCUUCUGACCAAUCAGAGUCCAGCAGCAGCGUGGAUGAAUGCAACAUUGGAUGGUAGCGUUAUUCACGCUAACGCGGCUCACCUGGAGUAGCAUUUAUUAAAGGAAGCUGCAUCGGGAGAUCGAAAUGCCGUGUUGGUCAGUUUACAUAACGCAGAUCGCCCUGUCCGAACUCACUUCGCCUCUUUACCUCAUUAGCAUCGGCGUUUUUUUUUUUUGACGUCUGAUUUGUUUCGCCCGCACGCCGCUUUCAGAACCGAUUCACCAUUUCCCGCUAAACGCGCUGCACAUUAGCGCUUGACGGCUUUCGAAAACUUAAAUAAAACACACGAGGAGCUCCAAACCAGUCGUGUGCCUGAGCCUUCCGUGGCGUGUCUACGUGUGUCAGAAAUUCAGAAGCUCUGGGUUAUUCUUCUUUCAGGCUUCUCUGUACUUUGUUGAAUGUUUCAAAUGUCACAAUUGCUAAUGUGCUUUUAGCUGAACUGAAUUCAACAAGUAGCCAUCGUGGAGAAAAAGAGAAAAUAAAAACAAAGAGAGUGACAAAAGAGUCACUAGAAAAGUGAACAGAUUGCAGAAUUUUGCACUGGUUCAAGCAUUUAAAUGUGUUAUAGCCUGUUAGCUAACCAGCUAAUUCACAACACGGCGUAGAGUGAAAGAUUAGCUGUUUUUUGAUGAUUAGCAAAGAAAUGGUCCAAUGAGCAACAGGUAACUUUAUCUGAUCUGCUAUAUCUGCUAUCAACGUUUUAAAACCGUGCAGGUAUGAUUAUUAAUCAGGUAUGAUUAGUGCAACAAGAUCACAUAAAGUUAAGCUAGUUAAUGUAAGAAGAGACACAGAUGAACUACAGGCAAAUACGGCCAACUUGAAAGAUAUUGUGUGCGGAAAUAGUGUGCGAGAGGAAAAGUGUUUGAGGACAGAGUUUUUGUGGAAAAGUGUGAGGGGAAAUGUGUAAUGUGUAAAAAGAGUGUGUGAGGGGAGAGUGUGUGUGAGGGGAGUGUGUGAGGGGAGUGUGUGUGAUGGGGAAAUUCUUUGUUUCAAAUGAAACGAGAAGUGGACUGUUGUAAAUUUUGUAAAAAUGCGUUCAUCUCGAUUUGAUUUGAAAUGAAUGAAGAGUCGCCUCAGACUCCGCCCUCUCGGAGGUGAAGGGAAGCGGCGCUGAAACCCUGAACACGGAGUCUGUGUCACUCGGAGGAAGAAUCCGCCCGCGUUCCCGGCCCUGACAGAUCAGACAAAGCAUCGUGACGGUGAAACAAGAGCCACUUUUAUGAGGUCCGUAACACAAGCCCAGGGGGCCGCUGGGAAACAGAUCCGCCGAUGAAAAAGACGGCCGAGCUCCAUCUUUCAUGUGCACGUCGCUUUUAUUUCGGCCCGCAGACACAAAUGACAGACGAUUAAGACGGCACAAAGGCGAGGGGGAAAUGCGGUCGCGGCCCAAAUGAACCCGGCCGUACCUGAGCGCGUUUCAUGUGCUUCUCUUACUACGAGUCCAAAGGAAACGCUUUCAGGAAGCGAGAAUGAAAAAGGUCAAGUCUUUCCGUUGGAAAUUAAACCUCACUUUCUACAUAUCAAAAAAAAAAAAAAACCACGUCUCGCUAAAAACUCCCUUUAAAAGACCCCCUUUGCUAAGAAAUGCUAAGUAAGUGAACACGCCUAGCAUGAAUUAGCACGUGUAAAAAUACCAACGUUCUUUACUCGGUUACGCGCACGGUAAAAGUUGAAGCGUCGGAUUAGUUCCGCAGAGAAGUAUAAACUUGUACGUUCAAUUUCGAGUCCGAUUAAAAGUUUAAAAAAAGGCUGACAAAAACGAAACGAGAGAAAGAAAGACGUCCGUUUUUCCUUCGCUGAAGCUAAAUUAGCAGCAAGAAAACAAGGAAUGUAAGAAAACUCGAGCCAUUAGCUACGGCUAACUACUGUAGCAACACCGUCAUUCCGAAGCGCUCAGAAGUUAGCUAGCAUGACGAGACAAACUAGCUGCUAAUAGCUAGCGUGAUAAACACGGCGGCGGCAGAUCGCUUACCGUUAGCCGUAUCUUUCUUAUUACUGAAACUCACCAUUUUUGAAAGGUUGUAAGUUGUUGGGUUUUGUUUGUUCGUUUAGCAUGCACUGCUAAUUCUGCGAAGCAUUCCAUAAUACAAGUUAGCUUUAAUGAACGAUUCCUGUGAGGAAAGAAAGCUAAACAUUUACGCUAAUCACAAUUCAAAAUGUAGCGAUGCAUCCUUGCUAGUAUUUUGUUGUUGUUGUUGCUAAUCUCUGCGUUAGCAUUUCUAAAGUAGUUUUAUUUCUGGCUUUUAUUUUGUAAGCCAGGUUCUACGCUAAAAACUUCAGACAGAUUUUUUUUAAAAAAAAAGUUUCAUAGGUGCGUCCAGACCGCUGAUUUUUACUGAUGUGGGUAGUAGGGUGAUACAGAUGGCUAACGGAUGUUUCCGAAGGUUUAUUUAAAGUAAGAAAAGCGUGUAGGACUAGGAUGCUAGCAUGAAUUAGCACGCAGUCACACGGCGUGAUGAUCCAUGCAUCAUGGCGAUAUUCCUGUGGAAAGACUGAGCAGGUUUUUAAUCUACUCUUGACAGGGAAUUACGGCGGGUAAUAUGGCGCUAAUCACUCCGUCUAGUAGGAAAAGUGGAAAACGCUAUCCAGCACUAGCUCUUAAUCAGGCCUCCAUCUUGCCGUCUGAGGAUUGUUUGACGAGGCGGCGUCGAGAGAUUGUGAGCAGGAUUGCGUUUUUAAUGAAGAGCUGAAAAGCUUAUUCACCCAUCUGUGCUAGCACUUCUUCACAUCAUGCUAAUAAAGUUGUUUGUCUCGCUUGAUCUCUUCAUAAGAAGCAGCUGAUUAGCCAAAUUCCUCCGAUUCUAGCGCAGAACUGAAAAUCGGCCCGGAUUCAUUCUUAUUCUCGUCGUCAUUUUUUCUCUCCUUUUUUUCCCCCUUCAUUUAAUCACCAAAGGUUUGGCAGAUAACUAAAAAAUAUCUGUUUUAAAUUAAUUUGUUUAACAUGAAAGUAAUUUUAAAAAAUUUUUUUACAUUUAAAUAAACUUCACUUUAGCGCAAACAAGUAAUUGUGUAACCAUAUAGGCCACACAGACACCAUCACGUGGGCGUGGCCCAAUCCACACACUCUUUACGCACUAUAUAGGCCACAUAGACACCAUCAUAUCUGUGUGUCCCAAUCCACACACUCUUUACGCACUAUAUAGGCCACAUAGACACCAUCAUGUGGGCGUGACCCAAUCCACACACUCAUUACGCACUAUAUAGGCGACAUAAACACCAUAAUGUGGGCGUGUUCCAAUCCACACACCCUUUACGCACUAUAUAGGCGACAUAAACACCAUCAUGUGGGCGUGACCCAAUCCACACACUCAUUAUGCACUAUAUAGGCGACAUAAACACCAUCAUGUGCUUGUGUCCCAAUCCACACACUCAUUACGCACUAUAUAUUCCACAUAAACACCAUCAUGUGGGCGUGUUCCAAUCCACACACUCAUUACGCACUAUAUAGGCCACAUAAACACCAUCAUGUGGGCGUGUCCCAAUCCACACACCCUUUACGCACUAUAUAGGCGACAUAAACACCAUCAUGUGGGCGUGACCCAAUCCACACACUCAUUAUGCACUAUAUAGGCGACAUAAACACCAUCAUGUGCUUGUGUCCCAAUCCACACACUCAUUACGCACUAUAUAGGCCACAUAAACACCAUCAUGUGGGCGUGUUCCAAUCCUCACACUCAUUACGCACUAUAUAGGCCACAUAAACACCAUCAUGUGGGCGUGUUCCAAUCCACACACUCAUUACGUACUAUAUAGGCCACAUAAACACCAUCAUGUGGGCGUGUCCCAAUCCACACACUCUUUACGCACUAUAUACUCCACAUAAACACCAUCAUGUGUGCGUGUCCCAAUCCACACACUCUUUACGCACUAUACAGGCCACAUAGACACCAUCACGUGGCGUGUCCCAAUCCACACACUCAUUACGCACUAUAUAUUCCACAUAAACACCAUCAUGUGGGCGUGUCCCAAUCCACACACUCAUUACGCACUAUAUACUCCACAUAAACACCAUCAUGUGGGCGUGUUCCAAUCCUCACACUCAUUACGCACUAUAUAGGCCACAUAAACACCAUCAUGUGGGCGUGUUCCAAUCCUCACACUCAUUACGCACUAUAUAGGCCACAUAAACACCAUCAGGUGGCGUGUUCCAAUCCACACACUCAUUACGUACUAUAUAGGCCACAUAAACACCAUCAUGUGGGCGUGGCCCAAUCCACACACUCUUUACUCACUAUAUAGGCCACAUAAACACCAUCAUGUGGGCGUGUCCCAAACCACACACUCUUUACUCACUAUAUAGGAAACUUAAACACCAUCAUAUGGGCGUGUCCCAAACCACACACUCUUUACUCACUAUAUAGGCCACAUAGACACCAUCAUGUGGGCGUGUCCCAAACCACACACUCUUUACUCACUAUAUAGGAAACAUAAACACCAUCAUGUGGGCGUGUCCCAAACCACACACUCUUUACUCACUAUAUAGGAAACUUAAACACCAUCAUGUGGGCGUGUCCCAAACCACACACUCUUUACUCACUAUAUAGGAAACUUAAACACCAUCAUGUGGGCGUGUCCCAAACCACACACUCUUUACUCACUAUACAGGAAACAUAAACCCCAUCAUGUGAGCGUGUCCCAAACCACACACUCUCUAGUCACCAUAUAGGCCACAUACACACCAUCAUGUGGGCGUGUCCCAAACCACACACUCUUUUUAAAUAAAAAGUUUGUGUCACAAACCUGUCGCUGUCGCUGUCAUUUACUCUCUGAAGUGUCCACUCCCGAUUUGGGACGAGGCCCGUCUCAGGUCCGUCUGGAUGAAGAGCGGGAGAUUUUCAGCGUUCCUCGGUGCCACAGAGAGUCAGCAGACCGGUGGGGUUUUCAUGCCGCUCGAGUUUCUUCAUCAAACAUUAACGAGGAGAGCGCGACUCGACUCGACGCUUCCUUCCUGCAGGACGGGACGUUUGGGUUUUAUACUAAUCCGAUCCGACUGUGAGAGAGACCUAGCAAAGAGAGAGAGAGAGAGAGAGAGAGAGAGAGAGAAUAUGCCUAUCAUCAAUAUUUAAAUACAUCCAAAGUGUGUAAAUAUCAACUGCAGCUGGAUGUAGCAUGUGAUCACAUCUGGAGUGAUACGCUAAUCACAGAGGUGCUAAUGACGCUAACAACAAAAACAUUAGCGCGAUUUCAGACAAACAGCGACAUAAAGUUUGACUUAAACGUUAUUUAUUAAUUAGCUACACCAAAGCCACGCCCACUUAUUUGCUAUUGGCUCGCAAGACAGAGAUUCAUAAAGUCGUUGUGAAUCGAAAGUAGCCACCGGAAAUAACCACGCAGCUUUUACGUCCCACGUCCCUUUCCCCUUCGGUGAAUUGACUUUGCGUUCGUUCCGAUUUUUUAUCGGUUCAUUAUUUUUUAUGACUGUUUCUAUGGCAACGGUGCUCCGGUUCGAUUCCCAGAUUUCCUACGUUCUGGCGGUGUGCUCUACACCCUACGUAGUGCACUAUUCAGCAAACAGGAAGUGAUUUAGGAUUCGUCCCGUGGUCCCGCUCGAUCGCUAGCUGGGCUAACGCUGAGCUAAUCGGACUCGUAUCGUUUGUUUAUUUCAAUCGCACUUCAUGAAUAUUCAAAAGGGUUAUCGUGUCUCUUUUCAGACCUGCCAUCACGCUAAAAAAAAUUCGAAAAAACGAUUGGCUCUUAGUUUUUAACCAAGGGGCGGGGCUUACGUUCGCUGCUACGCCCUGUUCGUUCUUUGAUCCUGCUCUGGAUUCUGAUUGGUCGGAUCGGUGUUUGAUUCGAAUAUGUUACUGUUUCUACAGUAACAGCUCAUUCACGUGGACUUGUCACCGAGCUCUGUGUAUGUGUGUGUGUGUGUGUGUUAUCAGUGCAGUAGAUCGUCACACACUGCCACUGUGAGAAUGAAGAAAAAUGGGGUUUGAAUCGUCAGGGUGUAAUUAAGCAUAUCGUCAUGAUGAUGAUGAUCUGUAGGGAGAAGAUAAGCCUCACACACGCACACACACAGUCGAGUUAGCGUUUUUCCAUGCAUCUCUGACACAGAGAUUACGUUACAUAUAUGUGCACAUAAAUAAGAUGAAAUGAUUAUUAUUAUUAUUAUUAUUAUUGUUGUUAUAGAUAAUACUGCAGAGCCGUGAUGCUAUACUGUUAUAACGAUAUACCGCGCUAAUUACCUUUGAAAUGAUUCAAUAAUAUACCAUCGCUGUUAGCUGACGUUCAGGGACACGAUGACAUCACAAUAAAUUUUUUAAAAAAUCGAAAUCGGACAACGUUUCUUCCGCUGAGCGAUGAACAGUAAACUAAGGAACGAGACGCGACGGCGAUUAGAGGCGUUUACGCGUCCCGUUCCUCUCGUCUCACUGCGAUUCGCCUACGAUUACGCAUUUCUCUUGAUUAAAGAAUGCGUGCUGGUGUUUUUUUGUUAUCCGUUUAUCGCUACAUCCGGCGUGGGAGUUCUCGCUUACGUUCUCGCAGCGAUAAACGCUCGUUCCCUCGCCAGCGUCUUUUAUCGCCAUCCUACAACCGAUUUUCAGCACAUAAAAAUACCGUAAUGGCUUUUUUUUUUUUUUUUUUUUUAAUCUCACGGUUAUUUCAGUAAUCUUAUAAUAAAGCCACACUUUACUGAGAGGAAGCUGGGUAACAAAAGGGGAAAAGGGAGGAAAAAAGGGGGGCGGGGCUUGUGUAUCUUCUCUCCAUGGUUGAUGUAAGGUUAUAGCGAAUAUCAUAAUCCCUCCUCAGAGAAGCCUUUUCUCACACAAGAUGAUGACUAAAUUUCUAGUGUCUUAUCAGACACUACCAGACUGGAGCUGGUACAAGAGGAUUGUGGGAAAAGAGAAGGAGG
Long non-coding RNA from Ictalurus punctatus (channel catfish), 7822 nucleotides. The record is from Ensembl. Lineage: Eukaryota; Metazoa; Chordata; Actinopteri; Siluriformes; Ictaluridae.